GCCGGCAGCCAUAUCACCCUGGAGCCCAAGACCAGUUUCCCACUGAAGCUAAGCAGGGCUGAGCCUGGUCAGUACCUGGAUGGGAGACCUCCUGAGAAAACCAGGUUGCUGCUGGAA
Molecule: ribosomal RNA, 117 nt
Organism: Carassius auratus (goldfish)
Lineage: Eukaryota; Metazoa; Chordata; Actinopteri; Cypriniformes; Cyprinidae
Source: Ensembl